AACCUACGGGAGGCAGCAGUGGGGGAUAUUGGACAAUGGGGGAAACCCUGAUCCAGCGACGCCGCGUGAGUGAAGAAGUAUUUUGGUAUGUAAAGCUCUGUCAGCAGGGAAGAAAGAAAUGACGGUACCUGACCAAGAAGCCCCGGCUAACUACGUGCCAGCAGCCGCGGUAAUACGUAGGGGGCAAGCGUUAUCCGGAUUUAUUGGGUUUAAAGGGUGCGCAGGCGGAGGUGCAAGUCAGCGGUCAAAUUGCGGGGCUCAACCCCGUACUGCCGUUGAAACUGCAGCCCUUGAGUGCGCGAGAA
Molecule: ribosomal RNA, 305 nt
Filed under: uncultured bacterium
Lineage: Bacteria
Description: bacterial SSU rRNA
Rfam family: Bacterial small subunit ribosomal RNA
Source: RNAcentral